UACGGAAGGCAGCAGUGGGGAAUAUUGCACAAUGGGCGAAAGCCUGAUGCAGCUAUGCCGCGUGUAUGAAGAAGGCCUUAGGGUUGUAAAGUACUUUCAUCGGGGAGGAAAAACAAAACUAAUAAUUUUAUUUCUUGACGUUACCCGAAAAAGAAGCACCGGCUAACUCCGUGCCAGCAGCCGCGGUAAUACGGAGGGUGCUAGCGUUAAUCAGAAUUACUGGGCGUAAAGAGCACGUAGGUGGUUUUUUUAAAGUCAGAUGUGAAAUCCCUGGGCUUAACCUAGGAACUGCAUUUUGAAACUGAAAUACUAGAGUAUCGUAGAGGGAGGUAGAAUUCUAGGUGUAGCGGUGAAAUGCGUAGAUAUCUGGAGGAAUACCUGUGGCGAAAGCGGCCUCCUAAACGAAUACUGACACUGAGGUGCGAAAGCGUGGGGAGCAAACAGGGAUUAGAUACCCGU
This 459-nucleotide ribosomal RNA is filed under the name uncultured bacterium. RNAcentral's name for it is "bacterial SSU rRNA". It matches the Rfam family "Bacterial small subunit ribosomal RNA", at positions 340 to 789 of the family's 1533-position model. The record is from RNAcentral.